UUAAGCGACUAAGCGUACACGGUGGAUGCCCUGGCAGUCAGAGGCGAUGAAGGGCGUGCUAAUCUGCGAUAAGCGCCGGUAAGGUGAUAUGAACCGUUAUAACCGGCGAUACCCGAAUGGGGAAACCCAGUGUGAUUCGUCACACUAUCAUUAACUGAAUCCAUAGGUUAAUGAGGCGAACCGGGGGAACUGAAACAUCUAAGUACCCCGAGGAAAAGAAAUCAACCGAGAUUCCCCCAGUAGCGGCGAGCGAACGGGGAGGAGCCCAGAGCCUGAAUCAGCAUGUGUGUUAGUGGAAGCGUCUGGAAAGGCGCGCGAUACAGGGUGACAGCCCCGUACACAAAAGCGCAUGUGCUGUGAGCUCGAUGAGUAGGGCGGGACACGUGGUAUCCUGUCUGAAUAUGGGGGGACCAUCCUCCAAGGCUAAAUACUCCUGACUGACCGAUAGUGAACCAGUACCGUGAGGGAAAGGCGAAAAGAACCCCGGCGAGGGGAGUGAAAAAGAACCUGAAACCGUGUACGUACAAGCAGUGGGAGCACCCUUUGGGUGUGACUGCGUACCUUUUGUAUAAUGGGUCAGCGACUUAUAUUCUGUAGCAAGGUUAACCGAAUAGGGGAGCCGGAGGGAAACCGAGUCUUAAUUGGGCGUUAAGUUGCAGGGUAUAGACCCGAAACCCGGUGAUCUAGCCAUGGGCAGGUUGAAGGUUGGGUAACACUAACUGGAGGACCGAACCGACUAAUGUUGAAAAAUUAGCGGAUGACCUGUGGCUGGGGGUGAAAGGCCAAUCAAACCGGGAGAUAGCUGGUUCUCCCCGAAAGCUAUUUAGGUAGCGCCUCGUGAAUUCAUCUCCGGGGGUAGAGCACUGUUUCGGCUAGGGGGCCAUCCCGGCUUACCAACCCGAUGCAAACUGCGAAUACCGGAGAAUGUUAUCACGGGAGACACACGGCGGGUGCUAACGUCCGUCGUGAAGAGGGAAACAACCCAGACCGCCAGCUAAGGUCCCAAAGUCAUGGUUAAGUGGGAAACGAUGUGGGAAGGCCCAGACAGCCAGGAUGUUGGCUUAGAAGCAGCCAUCAUUUAAAGAAAGCGUAAUAGCUCACUGGUCGAGUCGGCCUGCGCGGAAGAUGUAACGGGGCUAAACCAUGCACCGAAGCUGCGGCAGCGACGCUGAUGCGUUGUUGGGUAGGGGAGCGUUCUGUAAGCCUGCGAAGGUGGCCUGUGAGGGUUGCUGGAGGUAUCAGAAGUGCGAAUGCUGACAUAAGUAACGAUAAAGCGGGUGAAAAGCCCGCUCGCCGGAAGACCAAGGGUUCCUGUCCAACGUUAAUCGGGGCAGGGUGAGUCGACCCCUAAGGCGAGGCCGAAAGGCGUAGUCGAUGGGAAACGGGUUAAUAUUCCCGUACUUGGUGUUACUGCGAAGGGGGGACGGAGAAGGCUAUGUUGGCCGGGCGACGGUUGUCCCGGUUUAAGCGUGUAGGUGUGUGUUCCAGGUAAAUCCGGUUCACUUUAACACUGAGGCGUGACGACGAGGCACUACGGUGCUGAAGCAACAAAUGCCCUGCUUCCAGGAAAAGCCUCUAAGCAUCAGGUAACACGAAAUCGUACCCCAAACCGACACAGGUGGUCAGGUAGAGAAUACCAAGGCGCUUGAGAGAACUCGGGUGAAGGAACUAGGCAAAAUGGUGCCGUAACUUCGGGAGAAGGCACGCUGAUAUGUAGGUGAAGCGGUUUACCCGUGGAGCUGAAAUCAGUCGAAGAUACCAGCUGGCUGCAACUGUUUAUUAAAAACACAGCACUGUGCAAACACGAAAGUGGACGUAUACGGUGUGACGCCUGCCCGGUGCCGGAAGGUUAAUUGAUGGGGUCAGCGCAAGCGAAGCUCCUGAUCGAAGCCCCGGUAAACGGCGGCCGUAACUAUAACGGUCCUAAGGUAGCGAAAUUCCUUGUCGGGUAAGUUCCGACCUGCACGAAUGGCGUAAUGAUGGCCAGGCUGUCUCCACCCGAGACUCAGUGAAAUUGAACUCGCUGUGAAGAUGCAGUGUACCCGCGGCAAGACGGAAAGACCCCGUGAACCUUUACUAUAGCUUGACACUGAACAUUGAGCCUUGAUGUGUAGGAUAGGUGGGAGGCUUUGAAGUGUGGACGCCAGUCUGCAUGGAGCCGACCUUGAAAUACCACCCUUUAAUGUUUGAUGUUCUAACGUGGACCCGUUACCCGGGUUGCGGACAGUGUCUGGUGGGUAGUUUGACUGGGGCGGUCUCCUCCUAAAGAGUAACGGAGGAGCACGAAGGUUGGCUAAUCCUGGUCGGACAUCAGGAGGUUAGUGCAAUGGCAUAAGCCAGCUUGACUGCGAGCGUGACGGCGCGAGCAGGUGCGAAAGCAGGUCAUAGUGAUCCGGUGGUUCUGAAUGGAAGGGCCAUCGCUCAACGGAUAAAAGGUACUCCGGGGAUAACAGGCUGAUACCGCCCAAGAGUUCAUAUCGACGGCGGUGUUUGGCACCUCGAUGUCGGCUCAUCACAUCCUGGGGCUGAAGUAGGUCCCAAGGGUAUGGCUGUUCGCCAUUUAAAGUGGUACGCGAGCUGGGUUUAGAACGUCGUGAGACAGUUCGGUCCCUAUCUGCCGUGGGCGCUGGAGAACUGAGGGGGGCUGCUCCUAGUACGAGAGGACCGGAGUGGACGCAUCACUGGUGUUCGGGUUGUCAUGCCAAUGGCACUGCCCGGUAGCUAAAUGCGGAAGAGAUAAGUGCUGAAAGCAUCUAAGCACGAAACUUGCCCCGAGAUGAGUUCUCCCUGAGACUUAGAGUCUCCUGAAGGAACGUUGAAGACGACGACGUUGAUAGGCCGGGUGUGUAAGCGCAGCGAUGCGUUGAGCUAACCGGUACUAAUGAACCGUGAGGCUUAACCUU
RNAcentral lists this ribosomal RNA (2903 nucleotides) under Salmonella enterica. RNAcentral describes it as "bacterial LSU rRNA". It matches the Rfam family "Bacterial large subunit ribosomal RNA". The record is from RNAcentral. Lineage: Bacteria; Pseudomonadati; Pseudomonadota; Gammaproteobacteria; Enterobacterales; Enterobacteriaceae.